Molecule: ribosomal RNA, 54 nt
Filed under: Aspergillus niger
Lineage: Eukaryota; Fungi; Ascomycota; Eurotiomycetes; Eurotiales; Aspergillaceae
Also listed under: 68 other names
Description: partial 28S ribosomal RNA
Source: RNAcentral
UUGACCUCGGAUCAGGUAGGGAUACCCGCUGAACUUAAGCAUAUCAAUAAGCGG